This 496-nucleotide ribosomal RNA is filed under the name uncultured bacterium. Its description in RNAcentral is "partial 16S ribosomal RNA". It matches the Rfam family "Bacterial small subunit ribosomal RNA", at positions 29 to 507 of the family's 1533-position model. The record is from RNAcentral.
AUGAACGCUGGCGGCGUGCCUAAUACAUGCACGUCGAGCGAACAGAUAAGGAGCUUGCUCCUUUGACGUUAGCGGCGGACGGGUGAGUAACACGUGGAUAACCUACCUAUAAGACUGGGAUAACUUCGGGAAACCGGAGCUAAUACCGGAUAACAUAUUGAACCGCAUGGUUCAAUAGUGAAAGGCGGCUUUGCUGUCACUUAUAGAUGGAUCCGCGCCGUAUUAGCUAGUUGGUAAGGUAACGGCUUACCAAGGCAACGAUACGUAGCCGACCUGAGAGGGUGAUCGGCCACACUGGAACUGAGACACGGUCCAGACUCCUACGGGAGGCAGCAGUAGGGAAUCUUCCGCAAUGGGCGAAAGCCUGACGGAGCAACGCCGCGUGAGUGAUGAAGGUCUUCGGAUCGUAAAACUCUGUUAUCAGGGAAGAACAAAUGUGUAAGUAACUGUGCACAUCUUGACGGUACCUGAUCAGAAAGCCACGGCUAACUACGUG